AGAAUCAACGCUGGCGGCGUGCCUAACACAUGCAAGUCGCACGAGAAAGGGGAGCAAUUCCUGAGUAAAGUGGCGCACGGGUGAGUAACACGUGAAUAAUCUACCUCCGAGUGGGGAAUAACUGAGAGAAAUCUUAGCUAAUACCGCAUAACACUUACGAGUCAAAGCAGCAAUGCGCUUGGAGAGGAGUUCGCGGCCGAUUAGUUAGUUGGCGGGGUAAUGGCCCACCAAGACGAUGAUCGGUAUCCGGCCUGAGAGGGCGCACGGACACACUGGAACUGAAACACGGUCCAGACUCCUACGGGAGGCAGCAGUGGGGAAUUUUGCGCAAUGGGGGAAACCCUGACGCAGCAACGCCGCGUGGAGGAUGAAGCCCCUUGGGGUGUAAACUCCUUUCGAUCGGGAAGAUAAUGACGGUACCGAUAUAAGAAGCCCCGGCUAACUUCGUGCCAGCAGCCGC
Molecule: ribosomal RNA, 460 nt
Filed under: uncultured bacterium
Lineage: Bacteria
Description: SSU rRNA
Rfam family: Bacterial small subunit ribosomal RNA
Source: RNAcentral